Acanthosepion pharaonis is the source of this 108-nucleotide non-coding RNA. Lineage: Eukaryota; Metazoa; Mollusca; Cephalopoda; Sepiida; Sepiidae. The record is from the annotation of a GenBank genome assembly.
GUCCAUAUCACGUUGAAACACCGGUUCUUGUACGUUCACCGAAGUUAAGCAACAUUAAGUGUGGUCAGCACUUAGACGGGUGACUACUCGGGAAUACCAGGUGCUAUA